AGUGAACGCUGGCGGUAGGCCUAACACAUGCAAGUCGAACGGCAGCACAGUAAGAGCUUGCUCUUACGGGUGGCGAGUGGCGGACGGGUGAGGAAUACAUCGGAAUCUACUUUUUCGUGGGGGAUAACGUAGGGAAACUUACGCUAAUACCGCAUACGACCUACGGGUGAAAGCAGGGGAUCUUUGGGCCUUGCGCGAUUGGAUGAGCCGGUGUCGGAUUAGUUAGUUGGGGGGGUAAAGGCCCACCAAGGGGACGAUCCGUAGCUGGUCUGGGAGGAGGGUCAGCCACACUGGAACUGCGACACGGUCCAGACUCCUGCGGGAGGCAGCAGUGGGGAAUAUUGGACAAGGGGCGCAAGCCUGAUCCAGCCAUACCGCGUGGGUGAAGAAGGCCUUCGGGUUGUAAAGCCCUUUUGUUGGGAAAGAAAAGCAGCAGGUUAAUACCCCGCUGUUCUGACGGUACCCAAAGAAUAAGCACCGGCUAACUUCG
RNAcentral lists this ribosomal RNA (490 nucleotides) under uncultured bacterium. RNAcentral's name for it is "partial 16S ribosomal RNA". It matches the Rfam family "Bacterial small subunit ribosomal RNA", at positions 29 to 505 of the family's 1533-position model. The record is from RNAcentral.